This 412-nucleotide ribosomal RNA is filed under the name Salmonella enterica. RNAcentral describes it as "partial 23S ribosomal RNA". It matches the Rfam family "Bacterial large subunit ribosomal RNA", at positions 1073 to 1402 of the family's 2925-position model. The record is from RNAcentral. Lineage: Bacteria; Pseudomonadati; Pseudomonadota; Gammaproteobacteria; Enterobacterales; Enterobacteriaceae.
AUGUGGGAAGGCCCAGACAGCCAGGAUGUUGGCUUAGAAGCAGCCAUCAUUUAAAGAAAGCGUAAUAGCUCACUGGUCGAGUCGGCCUGCGCGGAAGAUGUAACGGGGCUAAACCAUGCACCGAAGCUGCGGCAGCGAACGUAUCACUUAAAGCGAUUCAGCGGGUUACGAUUGACGGAGCGAAGCGACGUCAAAGCGUAUACAAAGUCGAGUCGGUUUAAGGAUACGUUCGUUGGGUAGGGGAGCGUUCUGUAAGCCUGUGAAGGUGGCCUGUGAGGGUUGCUGGAGGUAUCAGAAGUGCGAAUGCUGACAUAAGUAACGAUAAAGCGGGUGAAAAGCCCGCUCGCCGGAAGACCAAGGGUUCCUGUCCAACGUUAAUCGGGGCAGGGUGAGUCGACCCCUAAGGCGAGAG